GGGGGGAGGCCGGAUUCUGGGCUGUGGCCCCGGUGCCCAGGGUUCCCGGGCCUGCGCUGUUGGAUUCGAGCUCCCGCCCCGCAGCCCCCU
This 90-nucleotide microRNA precursor is filed under the name Canis lupus familiaris (dog). Its description in RNAcentral is "mir-8799 microRNA precursor family". It matches the Rfam family "mir-8799 microRNA precursor family". The record is from Rfam by way of RNAcentral. Lineage: Eukaryota; Metazoa; Chordata; Mammalia; Carnivora; Canidae. RNAcentral also lists the same sequence under 1 other name.